GACGAACGCUGGCGGCGUGCUUAACACAUGCAAGUCGAACGAAGAGCGACGGAAGCUUGCUUCUAUCAAUCUUAGUGGCGAACGGGUGAGUAACGCGUAAUCAACCUGCCCUUCAGAGGGGGACAACAGUUGGAAACGACUGCUAAUACCGCAUACGAUCUAACCUCGGCAUCGAGGAUAGAUGAAAGGUGGCCUCUACAUGUAAGCUAUCACUGAAGGAGGGGAUUGCGUCUGAUUAGCUAGUUGGAGGGGUAACGGCCCACCAAGGCGAUGAUCAGUAGCCGGUCUGAGAGGAUGAACGGCCACAUUGGGACUGAGACACGGCCCAGACGCCUACGGGAGGCAGCAGUGGGGAAUCUUCCGCAAUGGACGAAAGUCUGACGGAGCAACGCCGCGUGAGUGAUGACGGCCUUCGGGUUGUAAAGCUCUGUUAAUCGGGACGAAAGGCCUUCUUGCGAAUAGGGAGAAGGAUUGACGGUACCGGAAUAGAAAGCCACGGCUAACUACGUG
RNAcentral lists this ribosomal RNA (510 nucleotides) under uncultured bacterium. Its description in RNAcentral is "partial 16S ribosomal RNA". It matches the Rfam family "Bacterial small subunit ribosomal RNA", at positions 28 to 507 of the family's 1533-position model. The record is from RNAcentral.